Molecule: long non-coding RNA, 1281 nt
Filed under: Rattus norvegicus (Norway rat)
Lineage: Eukaryota; Metazoa; Chordata; Mammalia; Rodentia; Muridae
Description: long non-coding RNA NONRATT024599
Source: RNAcentral
CCUUUCAACGUCCAUUCAUUAUCUUGCUGGGGGCCUGCUAGUUUAUUGACGUGCCCCACCAAGGCCCCCAGAAUGGUCACUCGGAACAGUUACACAUUCCCAUGACAGAACUUCUGGCUCUGGCCCUCUGGCGUUCUGAUUAAAGCCCUCUACCUUUGUUGCAGGAAGGCAUUGCCUGUCUAUAGACAUCAGAUGCUGUAGUGGGCUGACCCUUUCUCAGUUGGCUGGGUCGUGACUGGGCCACUGUUUCUAGUCAUUGGCAGCUUCUCACCACAUGCCCCUUCAACCCUCUUCUCUGUCUCGAGACUGAUCCCAUAAUCUCCCAGUCAAUGGUGGGUCAGCAUUCCAGCCCCCUGCUACCCAAGAAUUCCGUGGACUGGCCAUGCAUGAGAUUUAUCAGAGGGCCUAGCAGACUCAGCCUGGAUCCCCAACUGACAGCACUUGUUUCUGGAUUUCUUCCUUGCUUGCCCUAUUCCCCUACCCACCUCUCCUGGGCUUCCUGGAGGUUCCUUCAGAGUGAGUCCCUUGCACCAGUGUCCUUAUGUCGACAUCUAUUCCAUUAGUAGGGUCUCUCUAGAGGGACAGAACUAAUAGAGUGAAUAUGUAUUAAGCGGGGGGGGGUUUAUUAGAUUGGCUUCCAUGAUAUAGGAGACCUAUAGAUAUAGUAGUCAUCAUAUCAGAGAGACUGAGAACCGUGGCUGUUCUGUCUAUGAGGCUGGAUGCCCCAACAGUACCAACCUGGUACUGGAGGCCUGGCGGGUUCCUAGAGAGCCACUGGUUUACAGUGGGAGGCUAAGGAAGUGAAGUUCCCAUGUCGACCAAGGAUAGUGGUGGUGGUGGCGGCAGCAGCAACAGCAGCAGCAGGGUAGAUGCAUCCACAGUGAGGUCUUUCUUUCCACCGUGUGCGUCCCAGGGAUUGAAGCAUCAUCAGCCUUGACCACAGGCACUUUACACGCUGACCCAUCUCACUGGCCCCAAGAUUGAUUAAUUAUGAAAAAGAAACAAGGACUGGAGAGAAGGCUCAGUGGUUAAGAGCACUGACUGCUCUUCCCGAGGUCCUGAGUUCCAUUCCCAGCAACCACAUGGUGGCUCCCAACCGUCUGUAGUGAGAUCUGAUGCCCUCUCCUGGUGUGUCUGAAGACAGCCACAGUGUACUCAUACAUAAAACAAAUUAAUCUUUAAAAGAAAAAGGGAAAGGAGCAAAUACAAUUGUACUCAAAUCGCUAACAGAUGCAGCCUUAUUUGUACCUCAAAGAAUUCUAAGAAAUGUGUUGAUGAUUC